UAGGGAAUCUUCCACAAUGGACGCAAGUCUGAUGGAGCAACGCCGCGUGAGUGAAGAAGGUUUUCGGACCGUAAAGCUCUGUUGUGGUGAAGAAGGAUAGAGGCAGUAACUGGCCUUUAUUUGACGGUAAUCAACCAGAAAGUCACGGCUAACUACGUGCCAGCAGCCGCGGUAAAUACGUAGGUGGCAAGCGUUGUCCGGAUUUAUUGGGCGUAAAGCGAGCGCAG
RNAcentral lists this ribosomal RNA (227 nucleotides) under uncultured bacterium. Its description in RNAcentral is "partial 16S ribosomal RNA". It matches the Rfam family "Bacterial small subunit ribosomal RNA", at positions 355 to 574 of the family's 1533-position model. The record is from RNAcentral.